UACGGAGGAUGCAAGCGUUAUCCGGAUUUAUUGGGUUUAAAGGGUGCGCAGGUUGUUUGAUAAGUCAGUGGUGAAAGUCUGUCGCUUAACGGUAGGAUUGCCAUUGAUACUGUUAGACUUGAGUAUGGAUGAGGUAGGCGGAAUGUGUAGUGUAGCGGUGAAAUGCAUAGAUAUUACACAGAACACCGAUUGCGAAGGCAGCUUACUAAUCCAUCAUUGACGCUGAGGCACGAAAGCGUGGGGAUCAAACA
Molecule: ribosomal RNA, 251 nt
Filed under: uncultured prokaryote
Description: partial 16S ribosomal RNA
Rfam family: Bacterial small subunit ribosomal RNA
Source: RNAcentral